ACGUCCACGAUGAUAACAAAAAAUACAACCAACAAUUAACAAAACACUCUUAAGGUAUUUUUGAGGUAUCAAAAGAUAGAUCGUUGCACCAACACCAAGCAAGAGUUAAAUUUGGCUAGUUUUAUGCCCCACAGCGGAAUUGACCGACACUUGGUUUCGUGGCAUUUGUAUUGUGGUCCACGAUCAGGCGUUUAACAGGAUAACUUCUACGUAGCUCAGGACAAGAAGAAAGUAAACCAAGAUUUUAAAAACAAUGGAUCUGGUGAAAAGGAAACUAAGACCCUUCUUUUCUCUGACGAGAAGACAGAAAAGAAACAUUCGGAUUUGCUUAAGUACAGUCGUGAUGGCCUUGGCAUUUUAUAGAAUAUUGUACUAUAAACAAGACGAGACGCAAAGAAAACUAAUUUUAGUUUACACUCCAUAUCCAAGCGAACCAUGGGGCCCACGAAAUGCUGAAGAAUCCAAGAACUACAAAUUUACCGAUUGGGAUGGCACUCCAUGCGAAGAAAACAGGUGUCAAAUCACUUUUGAUAAAAGUUUACGAAACUUUAGCGAUGCUGUGCUCGUACACGUCGGACAUCCGAAUUUCAAUAUUGACGAAGCAAAGAGCAACAGGCCACCCGCACAGAGAUGGGUCUUGUACACUAAGGAAAGUCCGGGAGUAUAUCCCAUAGGAGAUAUGGCUGACGGCGUGUAUAACUGGACUGCAACUUAUCGGCUAGAUUCGGACUUUUUCGUACCUUAUGGAUCUUAUUCACCAUUGAAAAUCCCGAAUAAAUCAGAUAACGACGACUUAACGGAACAACCCGGCGAAAAUGUGAACUACGCAAAGGGAAAAGACAAAAUGGCCACUUUUGGUGUGAGUAACCACUGUAACGAACGUGGAGUUAGAUUCUCUUACGUCCGGGCACUCUUAAAACACAUACCAAUAAGCCUCUAUGGAAAAUGUGCCCCUAUGUUUGAAUCGAAUAACACUUGGAAAUGUCCCCGCCGCAAGGGACAAAUCGAUGAUGAUUGCGAGGAAGAAAUCCAGCGCCACAAGUUCUACCUCGCAUUUGAGAAUAGUUUGUGUAUAGAUUACAUAACAGAGAAGUAUUGGAGGAAUUCACUUGAGAGAGGAUUGGUCCCUGUAGUUCUUGGAGGUGCUCAAUACGGUCCCGAUCUGGUAAUUCCUGGUUCUUUCAUCAACGCAGCCGACUUUGAUUCCGUUAAAGAUCUUGCGGAUUACCUGAAGUAUCUGGAUAAGAAUGACACGGCCUAUAACCAGUAUUUUCAGUGGAAAACCAAAUACAAGGUUGUCAAGUACAAUUUUUGGUUGUGCCAAUUGUGUAAGGCCCUUCAUGAUCCAACGAAACCGGCUAAAAUUUAUCACAAAAUGUCAGAGUUUCUGGGAAUUAAAGGAGCGUGCAAAGUUAACGAAGAGCGCGUUUGGAACAUUAUCAACAGAGGCUGAACACGGCUCAAGAAUUGAGAGCUCCUGUCUUCAACCUUGUCCCCAGGACCUUCUCCACUUGUCAAAGAGAAGGCCCUGGGGACGAGAUUGCUCCUGUCAAUUGGAACUUCAAGGCGGACUGGCGGAAUGACAGACGGAUGGAUCAUUGAAUUUAAAUCAAAAUUUCGAUUUCUUAAUCAUAUGUUAUAGAAGUGUUUCAGUCUUAUGGUGUGGCGGAGAAAGACCACAUUGUGUUCACCAAUGAAUUCCUAUGAUAUUGUUCCGUUCACCGGGCAGGUAUUCACUCCGGGAGAUCAGUAAAUAUACAUAUGCACGUCUAACUCCUAAGUUACAAUUUGUAAUAGUAAUUGGAGCGAGUGGAGUACAAUUCAGGGACUACUAGAAUCGCGCAAGUAAUUUCAAAAUCGAACGAGCACGAUUUCUCUCCGAAUUGUACGACAGGCUGUCCAGUUAGUAAUUAAUCGUAUCUAUAACAAAUUUCGAGAUUAAAAAAAGUAGUUUGAGAACUUUUUUUGAGCGAAAAAGUCAGUAGUGUUUCCCAUAAUCAGUUGUAAAAACUGUAGGAAACAUUAAGAUGGAAGUUAUUAAAGCGCGUUUAAUCAAUCAAUCAAUCAAUCAAUCAAUCAAUCAAUCAAUCAAUCAAUCAAUCAAUCAAUCAUUUUAUUUAAAACUUGGUUAAAAUCUUCAGUGAGCACAAUAGUCAGGGGUACCAAUUUAAAUACAAAUCAGUUCAAAUGAGCGGAAGGUAGCAUUGCUUACUAUGAGUAAGUAGGGUUUUGGCGCUGACUUGUUAUCCGGUACUGUUCAGUUAAAUACAAAUUGAGCACAUUCACUGUAAUAUAGCAUUGUCUAGUAAUGUUUGCUGAUAAAUAUCUCUGAUGAAGAGUUCAUGAUGAUCUAUCUCUGGGGAAUCAGUAUUAUUCCUGAGGCGGUCGCACAUAAGAGGUACUAUAAUAUCUCAGCAAGCCGCUGUGCUUUGUGAAAGUUCUAAAUAUAACGUUUCAGCACCUUAACGCGACUUGAAUUUUUUCAACAAAUAAACUGAAACGAGAUUAUUCCAUGUACCGUACUAUGAGACGCUCCCCGUGUGGCUUAGAAUGAAAUCCCCACAGACUCUGAUGCUAAAACUGUUACUGCGUGAGGUUUUGGAAAAUAUUAUUGUUUUAUUUUUUUACUUAUUUCACUUUUUUCGCUUGUUAAAAUGGCAAGUACGCAAGUCAAACAAGUUUUACCAAAUUGUAAGAUAUAUUUCAAAGCCAAUCACCUGCAUGCACAGUGGUAUUUUAGGACAAACCAAGACAUCAUUCAGCGCUUUGUUAUUUGACUUAAUUACACAAAAUACGCCAGCGUCUAUGAUAGAUAUUUUUAAACUCAGCGUCAAAAGCUUGCCCUUCCCCUUACCCAUGUGGUUUUGAUACAUUACUGAGUGGGGAUGGCGAUGCAUGCGCAAAGAACGCGCCUUGGAAUUUCACAGUUAUCUAGAUCUGCUCAGUACGCUGAUCGAUCUAAAAGCCGGCUGCUGUACACGUGAGUGGGAAUGCACCAUACAAGUGCACCGUCUGAGUAGAGCAAGUCUGAUGAGUACGAGCGAUUGGAGAAAAAUGUCAAAUAGCUAAGAUCAUGCCCGCGUGUAACCCUCCGCACCCCCAGAGGAAAUCUGGGAAACCUUUUCCUUCGAUGUUGGGUACAGCUACACGUGCGCCAAGCGCCUUGAAUAUAAUAAGCACCACACUCAAAUGAAGAACUCGGCACCGGGCGCGGCACGUAUUCGAAAUACUUGAAUUCUAAGGCGUCGCUUUUUUUGAACUGGAAUCCUAGAAUAAACACCAGACCAAAAUGUCAAAAAAUUUAACACCAGGGCGCUUUUCGAAGUAAGUAUGGUAAAGGUUGGGGACAUCAUGUCGGGGGCGUUACGACCGGCUGUGCCACCAUUAUUAAAACACACCCGCGCCGGACUCUAACCCUAGACCUAUAAACCAUUACAUUUUUCUGGGAUAGUUAAGCAAUUAUUCUUGACAAGAAAUCAUAUCGCAGGUACGUUUUUUUCUCGGUUUUUCUUGUGUAGAUAUAAUUUUUUUUGGUAGUUGCCAAGCUCCUCCCCAAUCAGUAAAGGUGGAAACCGGAACGACGCUAGUCUCCCUCGCAACGCAACGCUCCUCCCCACUAACUAGUGGGGAGGAGCGUUGCGUGACGACCCUAAUAACGGCUGCGAAGGAGACUAGAACGACGUCAGAGAGACUCUGGGCUCGAGCGGUUGAGAUCGAAUCGACCUAGUUACCGACACCGCGGGCUCAAUGUUUUGGUCCAUUGUACCUUUGUAUUCCUCUGUUAUUCCUCUUCGAUCCUAUUCCUGUCCAUAUUACAAUAGUGGGGGAAAACCUUCCUAUUCCAUUUAAUUUUUCUAUAAAACAGAAAAAACCUUUUUACCUUAAGGAUCACGUAUGGGUUGCACUGUGAGUGGAACUGCCAAGGAACUGCCAAGGAUAAAAGGAUCGUGCAAUUCCGACGAAAUCAACGCACGUGUCACUUUGUUUAAAAACUUGAGCAAAGAGCUUUGUUCCGUGGAUCGCACAGGCAAUGCCAGUUUUUUGAAAGCAACAUCUCAGAGAUGCAGUUGCAGUGACAGCUUUAAAAAAGUUUCAUGGAAAAUAAUGAGUGAAAAACAAAGUGAAAGGAAUAAUGGCUGGGAUUACAGCGAAGCUGAACUGGGUUGUAACUUUCAACAGGACACUGCAGGCAAUGGGAAGGCCUGUUACAAAUUCUACAUCUCUGAUGCCAACAACAAUCGCACAAAUAACAGUUUAACUAUGCCAUGUGUCUCAGAGUUUUAUAGCUGUAUGCAAAAUUGUUUACAAGUUAACAUAGUGAAAAGUAAUCGAGUUGCUGUAUUAGUCCAUGAGAGAUUCUUUAAUGGUAAGCUACAACAGGCAUAUAAAUAUUCUGCAGUGAAAUGGGCCACUUCCAAGUUUUUUUUUUUUUGCCUUUGUGUCAAAACAAGUCUCUGCAAUUGCUAAACCACUCAUUUGAAAAUGCUUCACCUGUGUAUUCAUUUUCAAACAAAUCAAACUCGUUUUCAUUUAAAUAAUUUUGUCCAAGGACUUGUCAUGAAAGAGGCAAAAGGAGCUUGGAAAUACCCUUGUGGAUGGGUGUGGCAAUGCAGAUUGAUAGUCCCAGAAAUAGUUACGCACACAACAAGACUAUACUUGAUGUGCAUUUAACUGUGGUUAUUUUCUAGUUUAUAGUGAGUGUUUAAGUUGGACAAACUAGUUUAAAGAAAAAUCAAAAAUUCAUUUCAUCAGUUCCCAUUUUCUUUUUUCAAAACUAUUAUUUACAUGUGAUGCAUUUCGUUUGUCUCUGUAGCAUUUGAAGAUGACUGCGAUGAUGAUGACUUUAUGCUGUCCAACUGACUGGAGCAAAAUGCUUGCAUGCAGUCAUUUUGGGAAGGGAUGUAUCUAUGGACACUUCUGUGUAAUUGUAACAGAUAGGAAGGAACUCGACAUCAGAAAACACAAGAAUCCUUGCAUCCUCACUGGGUUAAUAAGUCUCAAUCCACAGGAUAUGUAACCUUACCCAUUUUGUCAGACAAUCAUUCCAUGAGCUAACAUCCAUUAGUCCCGAAAACUUGCCUGCAUGAAGUUUGCCGAACUGACUUCAUUUGUGACGGGCAGUUCUUUUUUGUACUGAUUGUGGAAUAUUUAACAAUUAUUGGUUGAGGUUGAGCAAGUUAUUGUGAUUUGUCAGUGGUGGGCAGAUCAGCUUACAUUAUUUUAGUAAUAAUAAUAAUAAAAACAACAUUUACAGAGGAUUUUAUGAGGCUGGUAUUUUUUAGUCCCUGUUGGUUUUUCAAGUUUGAGCAAGGAAAGAAAAAAAGUUCAAUCCACAAUAUUACUGUCAUCUCCUGUUUGCAAGUGUGGUUGCAAUUUGUUUCAUACUCAGUCUUGCAGAUAUCUAACAAUCCCACAAUUUGAUAUUCAUGGCUAUUUGUAUGUAAUAAAAUGAAGUAUUCUCCUGUUGUUUAAGUUUGUUGUUCUGUUCUUUUACCGGUGAUUAAGUGCAUGCAAGAGAGCUCUGAGACAUUUCAAGACUUUUUUUAGUCACUCCAUGAAUAUUGAUCUCCAUUGAUACACAAACAAUACAACUUGAAGACCCAAGAAUCUGGUAUUACCAAGAGAGAUUUACUAAAAAAUCAUAAACAUACAAAAAAGCCAACAAAACACAAUCACGGCACUUGAGCCAACUUUAUUUCGGCUUGACAACUUUUCCUGUACUUAGCCUACAAACUU
This 5736-nucleotide unclassified non-coding RNA is filed under the name Orbicella faveolata. RNAcentral describes it as "galactoside 3(4)-L-fucosyltransferase-like, transcript variant X1". Lineage: Eukaryota; Metazoa; Cnidaria; Anthozoa; Scleractinia; Merulinidae. The record is from RNAcentral.